GCACUGAACUUUGAGCCUACUUGUGUAGGAUAGGUGGGAGGCUUUGAAACUGUGACGCCAGUUGCAGUGGAGCCAUCCUUGAAAUACCACCCUGGUAUGUUUGAGGUUCUAACCCAGGUCCGUUAUCCGGAUCGGGGACAGUGUAUGGUGGGUAGUUUGACUGGGGCGGUCUCCUCCCAAAGAGUAACGGAGGAGUACGAAGGUGCACUCAGCAUGGUCGGAAAUCAUGCAAUGAGCAUAAUGGUAUAAGUGCGCUUGACUGCGAGACAGACAUGUCGAGCAGGUACGAAAGUAG
This 295-nucleotide non-coding RNA is filed under the name Pseudoponticoccus marisrubri. RNAcentral describes it as "Ponticoccus sp. SJ5A-1 Bacterial large subunit ribosomal RNA". It matches the Rfam family "Bacterial large subunit ribosomal RNA", at positions 2114 to 2408 of the family's 2925-position model. Lineage: Bacteria; Pseudomonadati; Pseudomonadota; Alphaproteobacteria; Rhodobacterales; Roseobacteraceae. The record is from Rfam by way of RNAcentral.